This 253-nucleotide ribosomal RNA is filed under the name uncultured bacterium. RNAcentral's name for it is "partial 16S ribosomal RNA". It matches the Rfam family "Bacterial small subunit ribosomal RNA", at positions 15 to 263 of the family's 1533-position model. The record is from RNAcentral.
GAUAUGGCUCAGAUUGAACGCUGGCGGCAGGCCUAACACAUGCAAGUCGAACGGUAACAGGAAGAAGCUUGCUUCUUUGCUGACGAGUGGCGGACGGGUGAGUAAUGUCUGGGAAACUGCCUGAUGGAGGGGGGAUAACUACCGGAAACGGUAGCUAAUACCGCAUAACGUCGCAAGACCAAAGAGGGGGGACCUUCGGGCCUCUUGCCAUCGGAUGUGCCCAGAUGGGAUUAGCUAGUAGGUGGGGUAACGG